AAUUAUGUUGUUAUUCUUGCAGAAACGUCCUCUGGCUUCCGACUUGACCAGUCCUGUGACAAGCAAGAAAAGGAUAAUUGGUCACCAGCCCAGUCAUGUCCAGGCAGCAGCUGGUGGCCACUUUUCUUACUUCUUUCUGCCUUCCACAUCCCUUUGCUUUUUGGACAUGCUUCCAAGUGUUGGCUCCAUUUCCCCCUGCACUCAUGUGGUGCAAAAACCAGAGAAAUUUCAGAGUUCUGUCAUCCCAGUGCCUGCCAGGGUGCAGAGGAGAUCCCCAAUUCAAACAGGAAGAAAAAGGAAUUGGGAAGACUGAAGCAGUUGCAUCCCUUGGAUUUCGAUGAAGGAAAAAGAACAGAUACUUCCAUUGCCUCCACAUGCUCUGCAACAAGCAACCAAGCAGACUGCUUGAGAAUCAUGGUCUCCUUGGAGGAAUGCCAGUGCUACAAGGACGACUUCAAUGCAAUUAUGAGGGAUAUUGGAAUUUAUAUUUUAAGAUUGACAGGACCAUGAAGAAGUUCAGACAAUUUCAGGAGCAAGUCUCUGACUCCAGGCUCCAAAGCCUAUCAGAUGCUGCGUCAUUGAUUCCCAGCAGAUUAUCAGCAGUUACAACAGGGUAGCCCCAGCUACUCUGAAAUGAGGAGCAGGUGCCAGUAGCUCCACAAGAAGCUGGCCCAUAUUCAGAGCCACAUUUCUGAAUUUGACCAGCAGUGAGUGGAGUACUGGCACCAGACAUCUGCUUCAGCAAGAGAACAUCUGUGAACUCAGGAUUUUUCAUUUCAACUGGAAGAUUAGUUUUUUUAGGAUUUCUUAAGUUAGCAUUGAACAGUAGGUUAUGUUAGCACUUUGAAGUAGAUUAUUUCUUAAAAAACAUAGGAUUAGUUCAAAGAAGUUUAGUAAGUUUAAGAAAUUGAAAGAUGAUAGUAUUGAAAUUUAACAAUAAAGAAAUCUCACUGUUGGUAAUUCCUUCUCUCGUUGUUUUAUCAUAAUUGGAUUGGGUUUCUUCUGGUUGUUAGCGUUCAGGAACACAUAAUCAUGGAAUGAUUAUAUGCAGGUGCUUUUAUUGAAAAGCUCUGG
Long non-coding RNA from Passer domesticus (house sparrow), 1074 nucleotides. RefSeq lists it as uncharacterized. NCBI's taxonomy places the organism in Eukaryota, Metazoa, Chordata, Aves, Passeriformes, Passeridae. The transcript has 5 exons. The record is from RefSeq and is a predicted model, not a curated record.